GACGAACGCUGGCGGCGUGCCUAAUACAUGCAAGUCGAACGCUUUUUCUUUCACCGGAGCUUGCUCCACCGAAAGAAAAAGAGUGGCGAACGGGUGAGUAACACGUGGGUAACCUGCCCAUCAGAAGGGGAUAACACUUGGAAACAGGUGCUAAUACCGUAUAACACUAUUUUCCGCAUGGAAGAAAGUUGAAAGGCGCUUUUGCGUCACUGAUGGAUGGACCCGCGGUGCAUUAGCUAGUUGGUGAGGUAACGGCUCACCAAGGCAACGAUGCAUAGCGGACCUGAGAGGGUGAUCGGCCACACGGGGACUGGGACACGGCCCAGACUCCUACGGGAGGCAGCAGUAGGGAAUCUUCGGCAAUGGACGAAAGUCUGACCGAGCAACGCCGCGUGAGUGAAGAAGGUUUUCGGAUCGUAAAACUCUGUUGUUAGAGAAGAACAAGGAUGAGAGUAGAACGUUCAUCCCUUGACGGUAUCUAACCAGAAAGCCACGGCUAACUACGUGCCAGCCGCCGCGGUAA
Molecule: ribosomal RNA, 523 nt
Filed under: uncultured bacterium
Lineage: Bacteria
Description: partial 16S ribosomal RNA
Rfam family: Bacterial small subunit ribosomal RNA
Source: RNAcentral